GGCUGGUUGCGAGCAGAGCAGCUGCUCAUUGGUCCGGUAGAGAUCAGUCCAGGCGGUGAGGCCCGCCUCCUGCAGAUGACUCUCACACAGAAACAGAAGAGAUAGACUGCAGACUGACUGCCUUUAAAUUUCAAUCUGCUAAGGCCAAGAAAAAACAUAAUACUUAUAUACAACAAUUUUACAAAUGUUCACAGCACAAUUUUAAUUUCUGGAAUAUUAGAAAAUAUUAAAAAUAAUAAUACACUGUGAAAUUAUAUUUUUCUGUAAAGUGUUAUUCCCCUCCUGAAGGUGCUGCCUCCUCCCAGUUUACAAUUCCAGAAGCAAACUGGGAGAAAAUACAAACCAUUCAGUUAUUUAUUGACUUAAAUGUCUUUCAAAAAACAAAAGUAAAACAACAUAUCCAGUCUUAAAGUGUAAGCCUGAAAAUUACAAAUGGGUUAGUGGUAUUGUGUUUUUGAGAUGUAAGCAAGAAGAUGUUGCAAGUGAAAUUAUACAAGUAUUUUUAUUAUUAUUACUACGUGUUUAUAUUAAUUUAUUAAUUAAUUAUAGUUUUCCUCUAUUUUUUUAUUAUGUUGUUUUAUUUGUAAAAGUUUUCUUCCUGUGUCUUUUGAAAUGGUGUGCUUAAAUGGUCAAAAAUCAUGUAUUCACAGUAAAAACAUUGAAAAUUGAUUUGAAUAGUUAAUUACAGUCAUGCUACAUAACUAUGAUUUCAUUCUUUGUAUUCGUGUUGUGGAAACAUAGUUUUAUUUCAAAUUCAGAGCUAAUAAAUGUCACUUUGUUUUGUCCCAAGUUGUCCAACACAGUGUGGUUGAGCUACCCGAUCUGUGCGGUGUAUGUCUAUGCUUACAGCUGCUCUGCACACACAAACUAUCCCUGUUUGUCUGUCUGUCUGUAGAUUAGUCUAUAGUUCAGUGUCAGGCUGCCCUGGUGCCGUUCAGCAGCUGUAAGGAGGACUCGAACCUGCGACCAGUCUAAAUCAGAGACUUUGAGUGAAACAUGCUGCUGUGAUUUCAUUCCUGAGACUUUGAUCCUCCGGUGGCUGCUGGGAAAUAAAGCGCCUCUCUGUGCUGGUGCUGCUCAGUCUCCGUUAAACACGUCCGUGUCUCUGGAGAAAUGUCAGCCGUUAGCUCAGACCAGAUCCAGAAACGAGCCGGAACCGAGCCGGAGCAGCUGGAGGCCGGGGUUCUACAACCGCAGACCGUGUUUGUCAUCCUGGACUCGGCUGAAACAAUCAACCUGGUCCGAUGAUGAUGAAGAUGAAGAGGGUGACCUGUCAGAGACUUGUGCCGGGCAGGUUGUUGUUACUGUCUGAUCUUUGACCUCUGAUCCUCUUUGCCUUCUGGUGUAAUGAGUAAUCCAACAUACACGCACACACACACGCACACACACACACACACACACAUAUACACACAGACAGAGCGGCUGGUCCCCUUAUGUAUUUUUCCAGAGAGACAAACAGGCCCAGUCUAGUCCUCCAUGUCGUCCCCGUCCUCCCCCCUCAGUCACACCACCACACCCUGCUACAUACAAAACACACACACACACACACACACACACACACACACACACACACACACACACACACACACACACACACACACACACACAAACAUAAAUUAUGUGGGCGGUGAGACAGAAAGCAAAAGUAAAAACAAGCCAGAGA
RNAcentral lists this long non-coding RNA (1663 nucleotides) under Cottoperca gobio. Its description in RNAcentral is "lncRNA (ENSCGOG00000023725.1)". The record is from RNAcentral. Lineage: Eukaryota; Metazoa; Chordata; Actinopteri; Perciformes; Bovichtidae.